GGGGGAGUGUUAAGUAUCCCACAUCGUAAAAGGUUGGGCGUGCGGGAGAGUGUUAAGUAUCCCACAUCGGUAAAGCAAAGAGUAAUUAGUCUCCUUAUAUGGACUUCGGCAAUCCUCCCUCAUGCAUCAUGAGCUAGCUUUUGAGAUUAAGUUAGGUGUAAGGUUCAUUUAUUUAUCACCUCGAACCAAAAAUGUCCCACCUG
This 203-nucleotide long non-coding RNA is filed under the name Capsicum annuum. RNAcentral describes it as "long non-coding RNA (CANN_LNC016286)". The record is from RNAcentral. Lineage: Eukaryota; Viridiplantae; Streptophyta; Magnoliopsida; Solanales; Solanaceae.